GUAUAUGUUUUAUAGGCACAACAUUCUAUCGACAUACAUUGGGGUAAAUGAAGCAACAUAGACCUGAAAGGCCUACAAAAAGUGCACAGGUGGAGAUAUAAAGAUGACAAGGCGUGCACAUGCUCCCUAGAGAACCAGCAACAACCCAUCAGGUUUAUUUCAAUAAUGAUCCUUCCGCAGGUUCACCUACGGAAA
RNAcentral lists this unclassified non-coding RNA (195 nucleotides) under uncultured fungus. RNAcentral's name for it is "sequence contains ITS1". The record is from RNAcentral. Lineage: Eukaryota; Fungi.